UGUCACAGUACUUCCAGCAGGAUCUGGGCAUAACACACAUCUACAGUCUCCAGUGGCAUCACAAGGGGGGGUGCAGCCCGCACCUGGCUGUCACCGACCAAUAGGUAACACCAAAAUGCCGGCUCCUGCAAUGUAACAUUAUAUGCAGCACACGGCUCCUGUCACUGUGUAGGAGCCGGCACUGCAGCCACAGCACUUCCCGGUGGCAGCCCGCAUCUAUCGAACCCCCAGAGUGAUGAAAAUGUGGGUUGGGACAUGAAGCCCUGCCCCUUUCCCAUGAUGCCACAUCAAGUGUCACCUAGAAGAAAGGAAAAAGGCCCACAUGGAUGUACAGGUCUCAUACAGUACUGAGAGGAAAAAAACUCUGUGUAAAGAAGAAAAAAUAAAGACGUCCCAAAAAGCACAAUAGUAAAGAUGAAAAGGUAAUGCUAAGGAUAGUCAAGUAAUAAAAUCAAAUGCUGAUAAGUGAAAUAGAUGAGAGGGAACAGAGAGAUGGAGUAAGAGCGGGAGAGAGAGGAGAAAAAUAAGGACAAACAAACAGCCCUUUACAGUGCAGUAAAAAUACCCUACUGUUAGAGAACUCCAACACAAUGGCAAGGCACCAGGACACAGGAACAUACAGGCAGACUGGGGACUAAAGGUCAGUACAAAGGUUCAUCUAACAAACCUUUCAUGCCAAGUACCAUAUAGGAGACUAAGCAUUCACUGCAACUGGAAGCUCUACCUUCAUUAUACAGUAGGAAAGAAUUGAUAGUAUAUUCUGCAAAGCUGAAAUUGUCAUAUUUGAGGAUACUAAUGUCUAACACAAGGAAGCAAAGCACAGACAAAAAAAGAUUUCAAGUUAAUGGAGUGAAGUGAAAACAAAUAUGUGUGGCAAAUAGAAGAAAAUAAAUGGAGGUAUACAGUCUGAAAAUAAAGGAAAUAAACAUUGCAAAA
This is a long non-coding RNA of Pseudophryne corroboree (corroboree frog), 936 nucleotides long. RefSeq lists it as uncharacterized. The transcript is spliced from 5 exons. The record is from RefSeq and is a predicted model, not a curated record. NCBI's taxonomy places the organism in Eukaryota, Metazoa, Chordata, Amphibia, Anura, Myobatrachidae.